Molecule: ribosomal RNA, 526 nt
Filed under: Philentoma pyrhoptera (rufous-winged Philentoma)
Lineage: Eukaryota; Metazoa; Chordata; Aves; Passeriformes; Prionopidae
Description: partial 16S ribosomal RNA
Rfam family: Bacterial large subunit ribosomal RNA
Source: RNAcentral
GCCUGCCCGGUGACCCAGUGUUCAACGGCCGCGGUAUCCUAACCGUGCAAAGGUAGCGCAAUCAAUUGCCUCGUAAAUUGAGGCCUGUAUGAAUGGCUAAACGAGGUCUUAACUGUCUCUUACAGGCAAUCGGUGAAAUUGAUCUCCCUGUGCAAAAGCAGGGAUAAACCCAUAAGACGAGAAGACCCUGUGGAACUUCAAAAUCAGCGGCCACCCUAUAUCACAUUCACCCCCAUUGGGCCUACGAACCUACAUAGGAGCUGGCCCGCAUUUUUCGGUUGGGGCGACCUUGGAGAAAAACAGAUCCUCCAAAAAUUAGACCACCCAUCUAGACUAAGAGCGACCACUCAAAGUGCUAAUAGCACCCAGACCCAAUAUAAUUGAUCAAUGGACCAAGCUACCCCAGGGAUAACAGCGCAAUCUCCUCCAAGAGUCCGUAUCGACGGGGAGGUUUACGACCUCGAUGUUGGAUCAGGACAUCCUAGUGGUGCAGCCGCUACUAAGGGUUCGUUUGUUCAACGAUUAA